GGGGACUUGCACGUGGCUCGCCAUGAUGGCAGACUGUGAAUUGCAGUUCUCUGCUGAUCUCAAAUAAACCCAUUUUUGUGGAAGAAAUAACUGGCAGUUUUUUUAUUCCAACACUUUGGUGACUUGCGCAGGGAUCCAGAGGAGACCCCCAACAGGCUGGUGUUAAUUCUACCCAGACAGCUUUUAACUCUAUGUGUAUGAGGAGGCGGAAGCAAGACCCUUCCCUUCUAGCAAAAAAGGACCAGGAUGAAAUGGGAAACUCCGCCCACCCCAGGUUUAAUUAAUCUGGCAAAACAGCUCUCACACUCCAGGCGAGGCACCUAAAAGGGAAAUGGCUCUUCCCUUUCGGGGCCACCGCUGAAGCGCCAGCGGCCAAAAUGAGGUUCAAUCCCUUGUGACCUCUGAUUGAAGCAAGAACCGUAAAAGGCAUUUCAAUGCACCUCCCACAUUCGCAGGAAGAUUAUGUCUUUCCAAAGAGCUGAGACACAAGUACAACGUCUGAUCCAUGCCCAUCCGAAAGGACGAUGACGUUCAGGUUGUACAAGGGCACUACGAAGGGCAGCAGGCUGGCAAAGUCCAGGCUGACUGGAGAAACCGCGUCAUCUACACUGAAUGAGCGCAGUGGGAGAAGGCUCAUGGCACAACCGUCCAUGUGGGCAUUCACCCCCGCGGGGUGGUUGGUGACCACCAGACUAAAACUGGACAAGGAUCACAAAAAGACAAAUGCCACACACAUCUCGCCAAGCAGGAAAGGAAAAGGCAAAUAUAAGGAAGAAACAAUUGAAAAGAUGCAGGAAUAAAAUAAUCUUGUAUAGAACUUUCAUUAAAAACUUAAAAUGAAAAUAAUAGGUGGGGGGGGAGGUGGCUAAAAUUCUUUCUCUUCUAAUCCAGCCAAUGAAGGCUCCUAAAUGAAACCCAAACCCUCCUAGCUUCUGCUGUUAUUGCAAAGAGCCAGGACUUUGGGAAAGAGGUUGUGAUAAACUGAAGCGCUUCAGGCACCUUCAGCCUUCCAACCAGCCUUGCCAAUGUCUUCCCAGUUCUCCAUGAUGGGGCUCCAAGGACCUACAGGGGUUCUUCAAUCCUCCCUCUUAACUGGCUUAGAGAAACAUUUCUCCAGAUUGGGGGCGAAUCACCUCUAGUCCUAGCUGACACUGCAGCCACUCUCAAGGCUCAGCCUCACUACUACAAAGCAGCCCCUGGCUCAGGGUAACCAGUUCAGAGAGGGGGGCUCUCCCGGGAACUUUAAGAGGCUCCUGUCUCUGAACCUGUUCCAUUCUAUUUAGGCCCUUCGAGAUGUCACACGCUCUUUUCUCCUCAGUUCCUCAACCUCUCUCCAUGCCUCAGGCUGAGACUUCUCAGAGAAGUAUGGUGCCAGAAUUUCUUUCUCCCAAACGGGAGAAAUAAUUCCAGAAUUUUCAGUAGUCAAAGUAACCUGGCAGAUGAAUUCAGUGACCUUUUGACAUCUCUGAUUUGCUCCAUCUCUGAUGAUACUACAGCUGAUUCUGGAAACAGAUCAUUUGUCCCUAAAUCAGUUACCACCCUCCUUAUAGAAGAAAAUCAAUGGAUAUGGGCACAAUUCAUUGUGCACUUCCCAUCAACAUACAAACAGAUUCCUCGAAAGCUUUUCCCAGAAUUAAUCAACGUAUAAGAAGCCAUUCAUCCAAGACAUAAAGCCCAUAACUCAGAUUACAAGGUUCAAGGCCUCACUAUCCCUUGGACUAGCGCCCAUAUACUCCCGUCACACAGGGGACAAAACUGAAAGGUCCGGGACCUCCAAGCAACAAACACCUGCUGCUUCUCUUGACGCUAACAGCCGUUCCCACAGGAAGUAGAUUCUUUGCAGUGACGGACUUGUGCAGUGCAUUCCUUAGUAUUCCAGUUGAGGAGACUAGCCAGUGCCUUUCCGCCCUCACUUGAGAAGGAGAACUUCUCCUGGACAGUUAGUGCCUCGGGGUUUUACCGAGAGUCCUUACUUCUCACAAAUCCGAAGGCCGAUCUGGAUGACGUACAGCUCCCUGGAGGCUACACUUUGUUGUAAGGUGUGAAUGACUUGCUUCUCAAACCUCCUCAGAGGGAGUCGUCAUGCACCUGCUUAAGCCUCUAGCCUUAAAGGGCCCUACGGAGUGAGGAUAAGUUGCGGUCUGCCCAUACCCAGGUUCAUUAUUAAGGGUAUCUGAUAUCAGCACCAGGGCUACACCUAGAUCCGAACCUCACGGCGUCCGAGGUUUCCUGUGCUGAGGUUUUCUCGGGCUAGUUGGUUAUUGCCAAAAUUAGCUUCCAAAUUUCUCUCUUAUGGCCAAGCUUCUAUAUAUUUUAUUGAACAACUCUGGCCCAAUUUUAUGGGAAGAAGCAAAUGUCAAAGUUUUUUGUUUUUUCCCCAUACCUGCAGCAUGUAGAAGUCCCCAGGCCACGGAUUGAAUGUACACCACAGCAAGGACAACGCCUUUUCCUCAACCCACUAGGCCACCAGGGAACUCCUGAUGACAUAGCUUUUAAAGACUUAAAGGAGUUUAACGAACUCACCUGCCCUUGGGCAUCCCAGUGAUCAGAUUCCCUUUGUGUGUAUGAAAAGGCAGGGAAUGCUCUGAGGAGACUCACCCCAACACGGGGACCACCAUCGGCCCAGGGGGUAUUACGGCCAGCAACAGCAAUGGGACUCUGUAGCACAGAAUACCUCUCCUGCCUUCAGCCAUCACGGCCACUGGCCCUGCAGUUAAGGCCACUGAGAACAGCAUUGUGGGAUCGCCUUCAAUCACUUCCGCACCUCAUGCAAUAGCCCUCCUGCAUUCUCAUCACACUCAACACUUCUGUCAGCUGCCUCACCUCCUGGGAGCCCUUUUGCUAGUGGCUCUUCACCUAAUUCUUUUACGCUGUGAGGACUUGAACCUUGCUACCCCACUAAGGCCCUUGCAGCUGCUUAACCCUGCAGGACCACCUCCUGACGUCUCGUGAUCUCUAGGAAACUCAUGUUCAUUGAUGAUUCUUAUGUAAGAGAGAACAACGGCAGAUACUUAUGGAUCUAUUACUACAACUUCUUUUGAUGUUAUUGAGGCGGCAUCUCUAUCUAUGGCUUUUUUUGGCCCAAGGGGUUGAAUGAUAUGCUCUUACACGGGCUUAUACUUUAGCCAAGGGCAAAACUGCCAAUACUUAUGUUGAUUGUAGACAUGUUUUCGGAAUAGCUCAUUACUUUGGAAUGUUGUGGAAGCAACACGGCUUCCCCACUUCCAGCAGAAAUAAAAUUUAAAAUGGCCCCAAUGUUCAGGAUUAUUGGAUGCAAUACUCUCACCUACCCUUGAGUUACUUCUAAGAUUCCAGGGCAUUCUAAACUUGACUCUCUGGAAGCUAAGGUAAAUCACCUUGCUGAACUUUCUGCAAGAAUCACGCCCUUAAAGGAACCAACAGCAGCUAAAGGAAUGUUCUGUCAUGGUCCAAAGGGAGAUUUCCCCCAAAGGAUAACUUAAAAAACUGGCUAGAGAAGCACAAAAACCGGCCUCAGGAAAAGAAAAACAAGCUUGGAAAUCCAGUACUUACUGGUUUGAUAAAGAGAGCGCGCUGUGGUUCAGACCAAGUAACAAUCUAGUCCCACCAGAAAUUCUACAAUCCCCCUCCUCUCUAGGGGACAAGCAAGAAACCCCUGGUCUACAGACAAAACGACAGCCUUCGUGAGUCAGUACCGGCGCAGGAACAUUAACAAACAAAAAGCACCUCCCUCACUGUCCCACUUGUCUGAAGUACAAACCAGGGAAGCCUGCUUGUACUGCUCCCAGACACGUUAAACUCCUUAAAGGAGAAUCCGAGGUCUGGCGAGUGGAUUCACGCACUUCUCUGCAGCGUGAACGUAAGCGUGUGUGAGUCCGUGUUCUCACAAUGGACCGGAGCUUCCCACGGCCGAUCGGCUACCACCUCUUCUGUGGCUCGAGUCCUUCUGGAAACGAUGUUCCCCACUGAGGGACUCCCCUCAGACUUGGCAGUGACAGAGGAAGCCACGUGGCCAGCCAAGCGCUUUAACAAGUUCGCGCUGCGUGGCCAGGCUUAUCCUCUCCCUGUGCUCACCCCCCCCGCCCAGUCCGGAUUUGGUCAAACACACCAGCGGCACCAUUAAGACUCAAUCGGCCAAACAUGCAGAGGGCCUCCAACGACCUUGAUCAAAAGCACUGCUGUCAGUCCUUAUUUUUUGUCUUUUUGUGUUAUUAGGGCCGCACCCACGGCAUAUGGAGAUUCCCAGGCUAGGGGUCGAAUCGGAGCUGUCGCCGCCGGCCUACACCACAGACACAGCAACGUGGGAUCCAAGCUGCGUCUGCGACCUACACCACAGCUCACGGCAAUGCCAGACCCUUAACCCACUGAGCGAGGCCAGGGAUCGAACCUGUAUCCACAUGGAUGCUAGUUGGUUUUGUUAACCGCUGAGCCACGAUGCGAACUCCUGCUGUUGGGCCUUCUAACGAAAUCUUAGAUGCUCCUAUUUUGGAACUUAGAAGCUUUCACCCUUUGAGACAGUCACAGGAUGCCCGGUGUUCUUGGCUCCUCCCUCUUUUGACUUACAACGGAUUCCGAGAUACUCCCAUACUGCAAAGGCCUGCUAACCACCAUUCGGUAGAGCGAUCUUUCCAUAGGAACCCUUGGGAGGGGAGGGGCCGUAAGCAUCACACCUUUGCUACCUGGAGAUGUCAUCUGCUGGAAGUGACCCCUCCAGAGGAACUCUCCUUGCUGGAAAGGCGCCUAUGAGGUGCUUCUAACCAACCCUUGUGGCACAGAACUCCACGGGAUACACGUUUGGACUCACAUGACACACUUAAAAGAAAGCACCCAACCUUGUCUGGUCCCGCAACUCAUCUGCAGGGAAGUAAAGACUUCCCUGAACUGAAGCUGAUGACACGUGAUGAUGAUACAGCCGCUUCCAAAAGGUAUCUGGACCAGGCCUGGUGAACGCUUGUUACCAAACCUUUGAGGACAUAAUAUGCUUUAGAUGCUCUCUAACAGCUAGGAUCUUGGUAACCCAGGACUUGCGAUUAAAAAGUACCUGAGCACUCUCCCUCCUACCCCCUCCCUCCUACUUAAAUAUGUCAACAGAUUUCCAAUCUGUGCACAGGAAAGGGCCCUCCUUGUGCUGAGGGACAAAAGGACCCUGAAGCUGGAAAACCUAACUCAGAUCAGUGGUGCUUUCAGAAAAAGAUCUUGAUCAAAAGGGGAAAAUGUAAAAAAGUUAAUAAACAGAAACCUCAGUUCAAUAUAGUUGGGAACCCAGAAGUGGGAGCUCUCGUACCCUGUAAUGACACCAGAGGCCCUCAGGAAGAAAGCUGUCCUCUCUCUCCUGGUAGCAACGCAGCCAAUGAAAAGCCAGGGACUGGUGUUUACUAUGGCCACCCCCCACCCCCAAUUCCUUUUCCUCCUCCAUAAGUUUUCUCUCCAUUUUUUGCUGGGCACUUGUCUAUGACUUGCCGUGGCUGCAGACCCAUUCUCUGCUGACUCUGAAUAAACCCAUUUUUGCUGGAGA
This 5494-nucleotide long non-coding RNA is filed under the name Sus scrofa (pig). RNAcentral's name for it is "lncRNA (ENSSSCG00030036596.1)". Lineage: Eukaryota; Metazoa; Chordata; Mammalia; Artiodactyla; Suidae. The record is from RNAcentral.